GAUGAACGCUGGCGGCGUGCCUAAUACAUGCAAGUCGAGCGAACAGACGAGGAGCUUGCUCCUCUGACGUUAGCGGCGGACGGGUGAGUAACACGUGGAUAACCUACCUAUAAGACUGGGAUAACUUCGGGAAACCGGAGCUAAUACCGGAUAAUAUAUUGAACCGCAUGGUUCAAUAGUGAAAGACGGUUUUGCUGGCACUUAUAGAUGGAUCCCGGCCGCAUUAGCUAGUUGGGAAGGUAACGGCUUACCAAGGCUACGAUGCGUAGCCGACCUGAGAGGGUGGUAGGCCACACGGGAGCGGGGCCGCGGUCCAUGGGACUAAGAGAGGCAGCAGUAGGGAAUCGGCCGCAGUGGGCGAGAGCUUGACGGAGCAACGCCGCGUGAGUGAUGGAGGUCUUCGGAGCGUGAAACUCUGUUAUGAGGGAAGAACAAAUGUGUAAGUAACUAUGCACGUCGUGACGGUACCUAAUCAGAAAGCCACGGCUAACUACGUG
Molecule: ribosomal RNA, 497 nt
Filed under: uncultured bacterium
Lineage: Bacteria
Description: partial 16S ribosomal RNA
Rfam family: Bacterial small subunit ribosomal RNA
Source: RNAcentral